This 362-nucleotide ribosomal RNA is filed under the name Herbaspirillum sp. VT-16-41. RNAcentral describes it as "bacterial LSU rRNA". It matches the Rfam family "Bacterial large subunit ribosomal RNA", at positions 2207 to 2568 of the family's 2925-position model. The record is from RNAcentral. Lineage: Bacteria; Pseudomonadati; Pseudomonadota; Betaproteobacteria; Burkholderiales; Oxalobacteraceae.
GGCUGUGUUGAACUUCUAGCCCGACCCCCUUAUCGUGCCGGGAGACAGUGUCAGGCGGGCAGUUUGACUGGGGCGGUCGCCUCCCAAAAGGUAACGGAGGCGCCCAAAGGUUCCCGCAGAGUGGUUGGAAAUCAUUGGCAGAGUGUAAAGGCAGAAGGGAGCUUGACUGCGAGACCUACAAGUCGAGCAGGGACGAAAGUCGGGCUUAGUGAUCCGGUGGUUCCGCAUGGAAGGGCCAUCGCUCAACGGAUAAAAGCUACCCCGGGGAUAACAGGCUUAUCUCCCCCAAGAGUUCACAUCGACGGGGAGGUUUGGCACCUCGAUGUCGGCUCAUCGCAUCCUGGGGCUGUAGUCGGUCCCAA